CCGGUGUCGACUUACUAGCUGCAAGCCUCUGCCUGCCUUCCUGCGCGCCGUUCCCCGCUAGUCGCUGCUGCUGGCGCGCACUCGCCGGGUUUUUCCUCCCACGGCCUCGAGAUGGUGGUGAAUGUGGCACGGAGGAGCCGGGCCUUCCAACCCGGUGGGCCCGAGCUCCGAAAGGCCCCCUCGGCAGUGAGAGGGGCGGGAGCCCGCGGGGGCCGCGCCCUUCUCUCGCUUCGGACUGCGCAACGCUGCGCUCUGGGCUGACAGGCGGAUAAAACGGUCCCAUCAAGACUGAGAAAAAGCACACCAGCUAUUGGCACAGCGUGGGCAGUGGGGCCUACAGGAUGACUGACUUAGUCUACAGAGAUCCCGGCGUACUUAAGCAGAUGAAGACUCUUAAGAUGACAGAAGGUGAUUUUUCUGGUGAUCGAGGACUUCCGGGGUAAUGACAGUGAUGAAAUGCAGGGGACCUGGUUGCCCCCAAGUUUCCUGGCAGUGUGUGAUACUGAGGAGGUGAGCUUGUUUCUGGAGCUGUGCUUUAAGGACAAUCUCUAUGGGAAGCAGAAGGCAAGGACCCCGGUCAUUUUAGGUAGAAACAACAGCAUGCUAAUGCAAAAAAUUAUGCAGUGUGCUACUGAACUUCAGAGGUGAUCAAUAAAAGAAGAAUAAAAAGACUAA
This 675-nucleotide long non-coding RNA is filed under the name Homo sapiens (human). RNAcentral's name for it is "HSALNT0291032". The record is from RNAcentral. Lineage: Eukaryota; Metazoa; Chordata; Mammalia; Primates; Hominidae.